RNAcentral lists this small RNA (91 nucleotides) under Lactobacillus acetotolerans. RNAcentral describes it as "Lacto-usp RNA". It matches the Rfam family "Lacto-usp RNA". Lineage: Bacteria; Bacillati; Bacillota; Bacilli; Lactobacillales; Lactobacillaceae. The record is from Rfam by way of RNAcentral.
GAUCAAACUAUUAGACGUGAGAGUUGAUAAGUAACUACCGAAUCGGAAUACUGUCAUUGUACAGGAUCCAUAUUCGCUGCGAUAUCAGCUC